Long non-coding RNA from Loxodonta africana (African savanna elephant), 7174 nucleotides. RefSeq lists it as uncharacterized. The record is from RefSeq and is a predicted model, not a curated record. The transcript has 3 exons. Lineage: Eukaryota; Metazoa; Chordata; Mammalia; Proboscidea; Elephantidae.
GUGGAUGAUAGGGGAAGGUAUAGAAAGACAGGCAGAUAUGUAGGUAGACAGACAGACAAACAAAUAGAUAAGUAUAGAUAGAUGACAAGUAGAUGGAUGAAUAGCCCCUGGUAGAGGAACGGGGCCUCAUCUGAACUUGCCUGACAUGGAGGUGGACCUCUGAAAUGAAAAAGUUCUUUGGUGUUUGUUCCUUGAUUAUUAAUGCCCAUCCUGUGAGUUUAACCUUCUAGGUAAGGGAUCUAAGUCCAAAUUCAAGGACAAAUGGGGAAUUAGAGGCAGCAGUAAGUUGAGGUCAAUUCUGGGUUACAAGUCAGAGAGAAGAGCCCGACUGAGUGCCUUUUUACAAGUCACCUGUCUGCAUACGGUGGGGGCUGUAUUUCUGAGCCAAUCUGCAGGGUGGUAUGUAAGGACCCCCUCAUCUCUGCCUGCAAAGCUCUGCUUUCUGAAUUUGCUUACUCCCACUGGACAUGAUGAGGCUGUAACACCAUAGAGGAUGGGUUUGCCAGAGCAUGGCAACACACAGGAGAGCUUUGAUUCUGCAGUCAGCAAUAUAACCCCCCUAUUAUGGAUUGACUUGUGUCCCCCAAAGAUGUAUGUCAACUUGGCUAGUCCGUGAUUCCCGGUAUUGUGUGAUUGUCCACCAUUUUGUCAUCUGAUGUGAUUUUUCUGUGUUGUAAAUCCUGCCUCUAUUAUGCUAAUGAGGUGGGAUUAUCUGCAGUUAUGUUAAUGAGGCGGGAUUAUCUGCAGUUAUGUUAAUGAGGCAGGACUCAAUCUACAAGAUUAGGUUGUGUCUUAAAUCAAUCUCUUUGGAGAUAUAAAAGGGAGAAGUGAGCAGAGAGACAGGGGGACCUCAUAGCACCAAGAAACAAGAGUCAGGAGAGUAACGCGCCCUUUGGACCCAGGGUCCCUGUGCUGAGAAGCUCCUAGAUCAGGGGAAGAUAGAUGACAAGGACCUGUCCCAAGAGCUGACAGAGAGAGAAAGCCCUCCCCUGGAGCUGGCACCCUGAAUUUGGACUUCUAGCCUCCUAGACUGUGAGAGAAUAAAUUUCUCUUUGUUAAAGCCAUCCAUUUGUGGUAUUUCUUUUAUAGCAGCACUAGGUAACUAAGAUACCUCCCCCUCAAUAGAAGAGAAAGAAUUUCCCAUCAGCCUGCCUUCAGGGUCCAGAGGCAGCAGGACCCCAGGCUCCCUUCCAUCCAGUGCAUUCAGUAUGCGGGUAGAAGAUGGCUGUGGUUACCUUCUCAGACCCUUCCCUUUGUUUCCUUUUGGGCUUGUCAAAUCUUUGUUUUGUGCAGAUGGAUUUUCUGCACUUUUCAUUUCUCAGCAUCUAGAGAGGACAGGAUAUAGCAUACGUCUGGACUUUUCCAAGGAGUCCUUGGGUGGUGCCAGUAGUUAAGCGCUUAGCUACUAACUGAAAGAUUGGCAGUUUGAGCCCACCCAGAGGAGCCUCAGAAGAAAGCCCCGGUGAUCCACUUCCAAAAGUCACAGCACUGAAAACCGUGUGGAGUGUAGUCGACUCUGACAUGCAUGGGGUGGCCGUGAGUCAGAGUCAACACAAUGGCGACUGGCCAGGCGUUUCCACUGGGGCCUAAACAGGUUGUGCCUGCAUCCUUGGGUCUGGGUGUAGGCUGUCCUGCCUUCUUCCAUGGCAUUUGAUCCACCAUGACACAAGUGAGUGUCCCGUCAUCACCUCACAGUGAUGCUUGGCGAAGAGAAGCAGUUUCUUCUGCACAGAAGAGAGAGCCACCCGGGGCUGUGUCCAAAGAUUCAGAAGAAAGAGGUUUCCUUCCUCCUCAGCCCUCUCCCCAGAGUACCCUGACUGACCAGAGAGGUCCAGCUGCCAUUGUCUGCCACCUUCCUUGAGAAGAGAGGCUUUUAGGACACAGAGGUACUGAGCAGGUUGGAUGUUAAAAACUGGGAAACAUCUCCAGACGGUGGAAGAAAAAGAGGCCAAUCUUGAACAACCUCCUCUGGUGAUCAAAAGGGCACUGAAGUUUCCCUCCCUUUUCUGGUUAGAUAUAAAUAAGACUUGCUCACCUGUGCAGACCUGCGCUCACACCUGGAGGUGAUGGUGUGGAGGAAACUGAACAGGUGGACUGUAAGGACUGUAAAUGGGCACUGUUCCAGUUUGGUCCAAUUUUCAGUCGCGUUCCUGUUGCAAAGAAUGUCCUUAGAAACCGCAAAGCUAGUACUUUUGCUAAUGCAAACAGAAAUUUCUUAAACUAAGAGAUGGGGCCACUGCCCAUCAAUUUUACAGGCAGUAAUGCAGAUCCCCAGUGGCUAAAGCCUGAGGCAGCUGGCAGAGCACUUCAUCACAGUGAGAGAACUGGGUUGUUGCCAAGGGGAAGCUGUUGUGAUAGCAUGCUGUUAUUGCUCUGCGUUAAUAAGUUGUGUUCAUCUUCUCGGACUCUGGUGGCCCAACUCAGCCCUUUUUCUUCAUCUUUUUGCUUAUUAUACAGCUCAGGCCAUGGGUAUGUGCCGCCUACUUGUCAUGAAUUGCAGGAAAACCCCCUCCUGCUGCUGCUGGUCCUGGUGGGCUUACACUUCUGGGAAUCAAGGCUUUCUGGACUCUUCGGUUCCACAAAUUAUACUGAGCACGAUGCUGGGCUGGCGCUGCAGGGAACUCCAAGAUGCAUGCCCACAGUUCUACCUUCAUGAUCAUUUUGUGGUUUCAGGGAAGAAAGUCACAUAGCCAGAUAAUUUCAACAACAGGCAGACUGUGUAACAGAGGGAAAACACACUGCUGUGGGAACCCAGACAAGGAGAGGGAAACUUGCAACGGGGGUAGAUGAGGGGUGCCUUCUUGGGUGAGGUUUCAGUUUAGGGAACUCUUAGAGAGUGUAGCCAUUUCAACCUGGAGUUUACCAUAAUGAAGAAGGAGGAACCUAGACACAAGAAAGGACACAUAGCCUUUAUGUAUUUUUUUAAUUAUUACACAGUAAAAUGACCUUAUUUACAACAAUGACCAAAAAAAAAAAAAAAAAGACUAGCUGCUAAGGCUGCUUAUGUACGACAAAACACCUCAUGAAAUUUGGCUCCUUAGUUUGGAGGUUUAGGGUCACAGUUUCAUGGGACAUCCCAGUUAAUUGGCCUAAUAACAUGUUCAGUGCUUCUUUUCUAUCUCCUACCCCUGGUGGCAUGGUGGUUAAGAGCUCAGGCUGCUUACCAAAAGGUUGGCGGCUCAAAUCCACCCACUGCUCCUUGGAAACCCUAUAAGGCAGUUCUACUCUGUCACAUAGGGUCACUAUGAGUCAGCAUCAACUCGAUGGCACACAACAACAACAGUUCCUUGAGUAGUUUCUGGGGUCUUAAAAGUUUACAAGUGGCCAUCCAAGGCACAACAAUUGGUCUCUAUUCACCUGGAGCAACAAAGGAAGAAGAGUCAGGAAUAGGAGGAAUGUGCGGCUAAUUGCCUCCAUGAAAAACUGUCUCCUUUGCCAUGAGACCAGAAGAACUGAAUGAUACUUGGCUACCACUACUGAAUGUUCUGAUCAAAGAUUCUGUAGAAGAAUCCUGACCAAAAGGGGGAAAAUGCAAAACAAGUUUUCAAAUUAUCACAGACUUCAGACUUUCUGGAGCCAUGGAGGCUGGAUGAAUCCCUGAAACUGUUGUCCUCAGGUAACCUUUAAACUUUAAACCAAAAAUAUCCCCUGAAGUCUUCUUAAAACCAAACAAUAGUUUAACUUAACUAGUAAAGACUGCCUGCCUUGAGCAUUAUGCUCUUUUGUUGUUGUUAGGUGUGGUUGAGUUGAUUCCGACUCAUAGCGACCCUGAAACACUGCGAGGUCCUGCGCCAUCCUUAAAAUGGUUGUUAUGCUUGAGCCUAUUUUUGCAGCCACUGUGUCAAUCCAUCUCCUUGAGAGUUUUUCUCUUUUCCGCUGACCCUGUACUUUCCGCUGACCCUGUACUUUCCCAAACAUGAUGUCCUUCUCCAGGGACUGAUCCCUCCUGAUAGCACGUCCAAAGUAUAUAAGAUGCAGUCUCUCCAUCUUUGCUUCUAAGGAGCAUUCUGGUUGUACUUCCUCUAAGACAGAUUUGUUUGUUCUUUUGGCUGUGGUAUAUUCAAUAUUCUUCGCCAACACCACAAAUCAAAGGCGUCCAUUCUUCUCCGGUCUUCCUUAUUCAUUGUCCAGCUUUAACAUGCAUAUGAUGUAAUUGAAAAUACCAUGGCUUGGGUCAGGCACAUCUAUGUCUUCAAGGUGAUAUCUUUGCUCUUCAACACUUUGAAGAGAUCCUUUGUGGCAGAUUUGCCCAAUGCCAUGUGUCUUGAUUUCUUGACUGCUGCUUCCACGGGUGUUGAUUGUGGAUCCAAGUGAAAUUAAAUCCUUGACAACUUCAGUCUUUUCUCCAUUUAUUAUGAUGUGGCUCAUUGGUCCAGUUGUGAGGAUUUUUGUUUUCUUUAUGUUGAGGCGUAAUCCAUACUGAAGGCUGUGGUCUUUGAUCUUCAUCAGUGAGUGCUUCAAGUCCUCUUCACUUUCAGCAAGCAAAGUUAUGUCACCUUCAUGAUGCAGGUUGUUAAUGAGCCUUCCUCCAAUCUUGAUGCCCCAUUCUUCUUCAUAUAGUCCAGCUUCUUGGAUUAUACCAUCUCAAGAAUAGAUUUGAUGCAUUGAACACUAAUGACCAAAGACCAGACGAGUAGUAGAAUGACUUCAAGGACAUCAUACUUGAAGAAAGCAAGAGGUCAUUGGAAAGAAAGGAAAGAAAAAAAUGACCAAGAUGGAUGUCAGAGGAGACUCUGCAGUUUGCUCUCAAACAUCCAGUAGUAGCUAAAGCAAAAGGAAGAAAUGAUGAUAAAAGAAUUGAAAAGAAGAUUUCAAAGGGCAGCUUGAGAAGACAAAGUAAAGUAUCAUAAUGACAUGUGCAAAGAGUUGGAGAUAGAAAACCAAAAGGGAAGAACAUGCUUGGUGCUUGUCAGGCUGAAAGAACUGAAGAAAAGAUUCAAGCCUGGAGUUGCGGUAGUGAAAGAUUCUAUGGGGAAAAUAUUAAAUGUCACAGGAAGCAUCAAAAGAAGAUGGAAGGAAUACACAGAGUCAUUAUACCAAAAAGAAUUAGUCAAUGUUCAACCAUUUCAAGAGGUAGCAUAUGAUCAGGAACCAAUGGUACUGAAGGAGGAAGUACAAGCUGCAUUGAAGGCAUUGGUGAAAAACAAAGGCUCCAAGAAUUGUCAGAAUAUCAAUUGAGAUGUUUCAGCAAAUGGAUGCAGCGCUGGAAGUGCUCACUCGUCUAUGCCAAGAAAUUUGGAAGACACCUACCUGGCCAACCAAAUGGAAGAGAUCCAUAUUUAUGCCUAUUCCCAAGAAAGGUGAUCCAACUGAUGCAGAAAUUAUAGAACAAUAUCAUUAGUAUCACAGGCAAAUUUUGCAGAAGAUCAUUCAAAAGUGGCUGCAGCAGUAUAUCGACAGGGAAUUGCCAGAAAUUCAGGACGUGGAACCAGGGAUAUCACUGAUGAUGGCAGAUGGAUCCUGGCUGAAAGCAAAAAUACCAGAAGGAUGUUUACCUGUGUUUUAUUGACUAUGCAAAGCCCUUCAACUGUGUGGAUCAUAACAAAUUAUGGAUGACAUUGCAAAGAACUGGAAUUCCAGAACACUUAAUUGUGCUCAUGAGGAACCUUUACAUAGAUCAAGAGGCAGUUGUUUGAACAGAACAAGGGAAUACUGAUUGGUUUAAAGUCAGGAAAGGUGUGCGUCAGGGUUGCAUCCUUUUACCACACCUAUAUUCCAUGCUCUUUUAAGAACUAUCUAUAUGGGAUCAAGUUGACAACAACUCAAAAGAUUAAAUAGGAACCUUCGGGGGCAGUGAGUUUGUGUUAAAGGGAGAGAAACAACUCAGAAAAGGAGGGUGGGAAUGCUUGCAGAACUCAAAGAAUGUAAUUAAUGUCACCGAAUGGUACAUGUAGAAACUGUUGAAUUGGUGUAUAUUUUGUUGUGGAUAUUCGCAACAAGAACAACAACAUAAUAUAUUUUUAAAUGACCUUGUUUUUGAGAGUAUAAAAAAAAACCAAACCCGUUGCCGUCAAGUUGAUUCCGGCUCAUAGCGAGAGUAUAGUUCUAUAAAUUUUAGGACAUGUAUAGAUUCAUGUAACCACCACCGCAACCAGGAUACAGAAAAAUUUAAUUACCCUGAAAUAAUCCCUUAUACCCCUGCCAAUACAUAACCUUUUGAUAUUGGCUUUCUCUACUCAGCACAGGGACGCAUUACUCAAAAAACAAGAUAUGCACAGGUUUACUUGUACUUACUUAUUAAUCUGUAGUGCACAGUUUCACCAGUAUUUCACCACAUGUGUAAGUAAGCACAAGCAAGUCCACGCAUACCUUGCUUCCUGGUUAAUCUGUCCCUAACUCAGCAUAAUGACUUUGAGAUCAACCAAGUUGUAUGCAUCAAUAUUUCAUUCUUUUUCAUUGCUAAGUAGUAUUCUGUUGUAUGUGUGUACCAAAAUUGUUUAUCCACUUACCUGUUGAAAGGCAUUUGGGUUAUUUCCAGUUUUUGAUGAUAAUGAAUAGAGCUGCCAAAAAUACUUAUGUACAGAUUACCGUGUGAACAUAAAUUUUCAUUUUUCUAGGGCAUAGUUUCUCAAUUUUGGCUCUCUUGGCUUUUUGGGCUGGAUAUAUCGUUGUUGUGGGGGUUGUCCUGUGUGUUGUAGGAUGUUAGCAGUAUGCCUGGCCUCUAUCUACGAGAUGUCAGUAGAACCACCCCAGUUUUGAUGGCCAAAAAACAUCUCCAGACAUCAUCGAAUGUCCCCUGAGGGAUGAAAAGCUCCAUGAUUUCAAGCCACUGCUCAAGGGUAAAUAUGCAGGAGUGGAUUUUACAGGGUCACAUGUUUUGUCUGUUACAUGGAAUCAAGCUGGUGUUCCAGGAGCGAGCCUGUUAUUUGAACAUAAAUACUUGAUCCCCAAGGCCAGCAUGCAGAUUAGGAGUCAGUUGCUGCCUUUGUGCGACACAGCGAAGGACGAAGCCCUGAGGGCGACCUCCGCCUUUAACAUUCCGCACUCCGUCCUCCAAGCACAGAUCGCGGGAAUCCCAACCCCCGAGCCGCCUGGGCCUUCUACCCCGCACCCCCGCAGCCCCUGGCCCGGGAAGGGGUGCGCUCCCAGCGGCGCGAGCCGGCAGCCAAGUUAUAACGGGCGAGGCGGGAAGCCAGGUGCCGCGCCCGCAGCUGCCACGACGCUCGCUUCGCUG